Molecule: non-coding RNA, 876 nt
Organism: Cyprinodon tularosa
Lineage: Eukaryota; Metazoa; Chordata; Actinopteri; Cyprinodontiformes; Cyprinodontidae
Source: the annotation of a RefSeq genome assembly
GCAUUGUGUCAAUAAUAAGUGUUGCUGUGAAGAGAACAAUAGUCAGACUGAAUGUUGAACAUCAGCUAGUUUCUCCUGCUGAUUUAAACCUUGUUGGACAGAUGGAACAUUGGCUGUGGAUUAUUCUAGCUGCUCUUUUCUUUGAGUGUAAAGGAGACUCAGUGACGCAGACAGAAGGACAUGUUGCUGCUGCUCAAGGAGAAUCUGUAACUCUAGGAUGUAGUUAUAAGAGCACUUUCACUCCAACAAUGUUCUGGUAUAAACAAGAAGAAAACAGCUUCCCAAAGUACAUGCUGAAAGGAUUCUCAUCAGGAGGAGAUAAAGCUCCGGAUUUCAAAGACAGAUUCAAAGCUGAACUCAACGGCAACAAGAAUUCAUUUAAUCUGACGAUCCAGGAUCUCCGUCUGUCAGACUCUGCUGUGUACUACUGUGCUCUGCAGCCCACAGUGACAGGAAACACCAGAACUCUGUACAAGAACCUGCAGAGCAGAGACUAAACAAUACUGCACUAUAACCACUAGAGGGCCUCAUUUACUGUACUUCUUCUUUUGGGGCAUAGGUGAAGUGCUUGGAUCUGAUGGCUGAUUACUUCAUUACACUGUUGCCUGUUCGGGUUGGAAUACUCCUCGUUAAACAGCCAACAAAUUCAUCCUUCUUUUUGAAGAACAGGUCCGCUGUAUCCUACGUGGCCUUGGUAUCCCAUGAUGCAUUGCGAGACUAAGCAAGCCAGUUGCUCUGUACUCAGAGAAAAAAGGAGUUUAAUAUAAUACAAGUACGUAUGUGAAUAGUUCUGUCUGAAAUUAAUGAAAAUAGUUGUGUUACAUGAUUAUUUGGUCAGAUGUGUCAUGGGUAAUGUUUGGUUUAUUGAAAAGUUUU